RNAcentral lists this transfer RNA (75 nucleotides) under Rhizoctonia solani AG-1 IB. RNAcentral describes it as "tRNA-Val". It matches the Rfam family "tRNA". From Rfam's summary of the family: Transfer RNA (tRNA) molecules are approximately 80 nucleotides in length. Their secondary structure includes four short double-helical elements and three loops (D, anti-codon, and T loops). Lineage: Eukaryota; Fungi; Basidiomycota; Agaricomycetes; Cantharellales; Ceratobasidiaceae. The record is from RNAcentral.
GGUCGCAUAGUCUAGUGGUUAUGAUAUCUGCUUUACAGCCGCAGAGGGUCUCAGGUUCGAUCCCUGAUGCGACCA